This 1465-nucleotide long non-coding RNA is filed under the name Citrus sinensis (sweet orange). Its description in RNAcentral is "long non-coding RNA (CSIN_LNC005348)". Lineage: Eukaryota; Viridiplantae; Streptophyta; Magnoliopsida; Sapindales; Rutaceae. The record is from RNAcentral.
CCAUAACAAGCCGAUGACCGAAGAGGUAUCUUGUAUGAUGUCAUCGUGGCUGUAUAUAAAGCCUCAUAUGCUGGGGUUAGGUCCAUACUGCAGCUUGUAAUCUUCUCUCUAAGUUUGUAAGUUGUUAUGAGAAAACAAAUAAAGAGGGCAUAGGCCACUUGUAGCUAAACAUCUCUAGAUAUUAUGUUUGUGUUUUUAUUUUUUAUUUUCCCUUUGAGCGAAGCCUUACUGAUGAUGAAGAACCUCAACUGAUUUCCUCUGGUUUCUUCCCUGAUUUUGCACUAACUUUGGUGUCGGAGACCGCAACUGAUUUCCUGACAACUUGAAACCGGAUUGAUGGAGGCUUUUGAGGCAGUUUUUUAUCGGCUUUAAUUUGAACUUCUUCACGGCUUCAAGCUAUCUCUUCUUCAAAUUGUCUCAAUCGUUCCCUAUCAAACUGAAACAGCAAAUCUUUGUUAUCCUUAAGAUCUUCAUCAAUGAUCCUUUGAGUAAUUUCUUUCGGUUUCUGGAAUAUUGAUCUGAUUAGUGCUUCACCUUCUUCUUUUUUCAAGCUCUUAUCCUCGGCAGCUGUGCUCUGCCUACUCCUGUGGCCUCAAGCAUAGAAUCCACACUAACAGUUGCAUGUUUUCAUUUCUUCCAGUGCUUCAAGAAUAUCCCAUCUCCUUUUUUGAAGUCAAGGUUCUAUUCUCCAAAGCGUCUCUUCAGCAUCUCUCUUCUUUUUCGGCUUGCCUGCUUCCUUAUCCUCCACAGGCCGAGGUUCGAAUACAACUUAACCGACUCUUCUCAGGAUUUGGGAUUUAUUUUUGCUUUUAAGGCACUGGGGCUUUUCUUCUCUUGUCGAACAGUUUCAAAUAUAAACGGUUAAUGUUGAGGCACCGAUGCAGGGAUCAAUAGUUUAGACAUAGAGAGGUAUUGUUUAGGAAUUGUGUAUCAUUCCCAUGUCGAGAACAUGUUUGAUAAAAUGCCCAAGAAGGAACCAUAUGUCCAACAUUCCAACCUGUUGUGUUGAACAGAAAGAUAAUGCAUCUGUUACUCCAACUCUAUGAUUUCCCAAGAAAACAAUCAAUAUGUGAAUGUUUAGGCCAGUAGGUUGUAAGAACCAGGCAAAAAGCAGAACAAUUUCAAUUCUUUGAAACAGAGAGCAGUUAAGUAAAUUCAUAACUUCUUUUAUAAUAUGCAAACUGUAUUACUUCUAUGUGAAUUGCUGUCAGUGUAGUUCAACAGAGUGUUUCAGACUCAUGAAAACAACUGGAAAAGUUAAAUCAAAUAAUAGCAAAUUCAAAUCUUAGGUGGCUACUUCUUUGGGCUCCGUCAAAAGUUCAGGUUUGACAGCUGGUUCUCUAAUAAUCUCCCGCACGCAAAAUUCUACGAUGCCGUGAUUAAAAUUACGGCAUCAAUGUCAUGAUAAACUUAAAUUUUAUGAAUUACGUAUAAAAUUAGAAAAUAAAAGAUAAAAUAAGUAAAU